RNAcentral lists this ribosomal RNA (450 nucleotides) under uncultured bacterium. RNAcentral describes it as "partial 16S ribosomal RNA". It matches the Rfam family "Bacterial small subunit ribosomal RNA", at positions 354 to 796 of the family's 1533-position model. The record is from RNAcentral.
GUGGGGAAUAUUGGACAAUGGGCGAAAGCCUGAUCCAGCCAUGCCGCGUGUGUGAAGAAGGUCUUCGGAUUGUAAAGCACUUUAAGUUGGGAGGAAGGGCAGUAACCUAAUACGUUAUUGUUUUGACGUUACCGACAGAAUAAGCACCGGCUAACUUCGUGCCAGCAGCCGCGGUAAUACGAAGGGUGCAAGCGUUAAUCGGAAUUACUGGGCGUAAAGCGCGCGUAGGUGGUUCAGUAAGUUGGAAGUGAAAUCCCCGGGCUCAACCUGGGAACUGCUUUCAAAACUGCUGAGCUAGAGUACGGUAGAGGGUGGUGGAAUUUCCUGUGUAGCGGUGAAAUGCGUAGAUAUAGGAAGGAACACCAGUGGCGAAGGCGACCACCUGGACUGAUACUGACACUGAGGUGCGAAAGCGUGGGGAGCAAACAGGAUUAGAUACCCUUGUAGUCC